GAUAAACGCUGGCGGCAUGCCUAAUACAUGCAAGUCGCGCGCCCUGCACAUUGUGCUACUCACAUCUGAUAAAUCAGAUUUAAGAGGAGCCUAGUGUGCAGGGAGCGGCGGACGGGUGCGUAACACGUUAGUAUCUGCCCCAAACUGAGGGAUAAGUCCGGGAAACCGGGUCUAAUACCGCAUAUGAUCUUCGGAUUAAAGCCUUCGGGCGGUUUGGGAGGAGCUUGCGUCUGAUUAGCUUGUUGGUGAGGUAAUGGCUCACCAAGGCUACGAUCAGUAGCUGGUCUGAGAGGAUGAUCAGCCACACUGGGACUGAGACACGGCCCAGACUCCUACGGGAGGCAGCAGUAGGGAAUCUUCCACAAUGGACGAAAGUCUGAUGGAGCAAUGCCGCGUGCAGGAUGAAUGCCUUCGGGUUGUAAACUGCUUUUAUGGGGGAGGAAUAUGACAGUACCCCAUGAAUAAGCUUCGGCUAACUCCGUG
This 483-nucleotide ribosomal RNA is filed under the name uncultured organism. Its description in RNAcentral is "bacterial SSU rRNA". It matches the Rfam family "Bacterial small subunit ribosomal RNA", at positions 28 to 507 of the family's 1533-position model. The record is from RNAcentral.